CCACAGGCCUCUUCAAAGCAGCUCAGAGCCUGGGCUCAGAGGCUGGAUGCUGCCGCCUGGUUCCAGGCCCCGAAGGUCACGGGCCGGGAGGAGAAGCAGUGUGACCCCAGCGGCUCUCCUUUCUGAGGUCACACCUGCCCCCCAUACACCCCUUCACCUACACUCACACACUCCCCUGGCCCAGCCGUAUGCAGAGGGCCCACCUCCCACCACUGAGGCCUCCGCCAGUGCUGCCACCCUGCCCAGCUCUUGCGAGCCCCAUCUCUCCCUGCUGACCAGGAGGAGAGGGGAGAAGGGCUGAAAUCUGUGUGCCGCGGCCCUGGACUGCCCUCCGGGGAAGCAGCUCAGCCCUUCCAGGCUGAAGCGGGGGUUUCAAGGGAGGAACAUUCCCAAAGCCAGCCCAGGAGGCCUCAUGAGAGACCCUGGCGCCCCAGCACUGCGCUCUCUGCCUCUCCUGGAGCCUCCCCCGCAGCAGGCUAAGGCGGAUCCUGAGCAGCUUAUUCUGAAAAGGAUCACACUCAGGAAGCUGCGGUGGAGACGUAGCUUUGGGAAUCGAGCUGGAGCAGCAGCCAGGGACAGGCACCCAGAGAGGUCCUGGGCUCAUCUGGGGAAAGCUUGUAGCUCCGCCCCUGCCGUCCCCUGGGAAAAGCGGAAGAAGGAAACCAGGAUCCAACUGCUGAAGUUAUCCCCAGCUUACAGAUGAGAAAACUGAGGUCUUACACCAAUAAGCGCAAAUCAUCUGACUGCAGUGUCUGACCCACCCACUUUUGUGCCUCACAGUCACUGAGACAUACAUGCUGUUAGGGGCCACCCUGUGUCCCAGCUGCGCCAUAGUUUACAAGCGUUUUUUUCCAUUAAUUAUCCCCGCCGACAAUUUGAGUAUUAUCCCCUGUCUCGGGAACAGGACAACCCUAGAACCCAGGCUUUGAUCAGUGGCCCCAUGGGAAGACAGGCUGGGGGAAUGUGAGGUUCUUAGAAGGAGAGGCUGCUGGGGGCCAAGGCACGGGGCAGAUGAGCAUUAGUCAGCUAUCAGGCAGUGGGACCCUCAGCCUCAGCCUCCAGGAAGCGGUCCCCACCCAUCUGUGACCGUCUGGACCGGCGUCCUGUCUUUCGUUUCUACCUGGAGGCAAAAGAAUAAACUAGAAGCCUCCCUUCUGAUGCUGGGGAUGAGACGACUAAAAUAUAGCACCUUUGAAGGAAAAGGGAUUGUGAUCUGAUCUCCACGUGAUUUUGAACUAUUUAGAUUCUUUUUUAGGGAGAAAAUCAUUAACCAUUCCAAAAUAGCUGCCUUCGCGGAAGCAAUUCAGAUGGAAUGAAACAGAAUGCUCCAACCUACUCAGUUCACUUGCUCAUUCAUUCAGUAUUCUUCCAUCUGAGCCCGUUCCAGCCACAGAUUCCACUACAAGUGUUAAGUGAAUGGAAUGGAUGCUGUUCAGGGGAAGGGCCCAUAACUCUAGUGGAGAAAGGAUGUGGGGAAAGUUCCAGAAGAUGAGACUUCUGAGCCUCAGAAGCUCUGAGGGAAGAGAAAAGGGCAUCUCAGGCUGAAUGCAUGGUAUGGGCAAAGGAGACAUUCCAGAAACCCUCUGGACACCCACCUUGGCAAGACCCGGCCAGGGCCUCC
This 1621-nucleotide long non-coding RNA is filed under the name Capra hircus (goat). RNAcentral's name for it is "lncRNA (ENSCHIG00000001698.1)". The record is from RNAcentral. Lineage: Eukaryota; Metazoa; Chordata; Mammalia; Artiodactyla; Bovidae.